Molecule: ribosomal RNA, 1219 nt
Filed under: metagenome
Description: bacterial LSU rRNA
Rfam family: Bacterial large subunit ribosomal RNA
Source: RNAcentral
CGAGAUAACUCUCUCUAAGGAACUCGGCAAAAUGACUCCGUAACUUCGGGAGAAGGAGUGCCUUAUUUAUAAGGUUGCAAUAACAAGAUCCAAGCAACUGUUUAUCAAAAACACAGGUCUCCGCUAAGUCGUAAGACGAUGUAUGGGGGCUGACGCCUGCCCAGUGCCAGAAGGUUAAAGAAGUUGGUUAGUGUAUGCGAAGCUGAUGACUGAAGCCCUGGUGAACGGCGGCCGUAACUAUAACGGUCCUAAGGUAGCGAAAUUCCUUGUCGGGUAAGUUCCGACCCGCACGAAAGGCGUAAUGAUUUGGAUACUGUCUCGGAGAGAGGCUCGGUGAAAUAGACUUGUCUGUGAAGAUGCGGACUACCUGCACCAGGACAGAAAGACCCUAUGAAGCUUUACUGUAACUUGAAAUUGGAAUUGGACUUUGCUUGCGCAGUAUAGGUGGGAAGCGUUGAAGAUAUUCUUGCGGGAGUAUUGGAGCUAUCAGUGAGAUACCACUCUUGUAAUGUUAGAUUUCUAACUUUGAACCAUAAUCUGGUCAAAGAACAGUUUCAGGUGGGCAGUUUGACUGGGGCGGUCGCCUCCCAAAUGGUAACGGAGGCGUACAAAGGUUUCCUCUGAACGGAUAGAAAUCGUAUCUAGAGUGUAAAGGCAUAAGGAAGCUUGACUGUGAGACCUACAAGUCGAGCAGGGACGAAAGUCGGUCUUAGUGAUCUGACGGUACUGAGUGGAAAGGCCGUCACUCAACGGAUAAAAGUUACUCUAGGAUUACAGGCUGAUCUCCCCCAAGAGUUCACAUCGACGGGGAGGUUUGGCACCUCGAUGUCGGCUCAUCGCAUCCUGGGGCGGUAGUACGUCCCAAGGGUUGGGCUGUUCGCCCAUGAAAGCGGUACGCGAGCUGGGUUCAGAACGUCGUGAGACAGUUCGGUCCACAUCCGGUGUAGGCGUUAGAAUAUUGAGAGGAGCCUUCUUUAGUACGAGAGGACCGAGAAGGACACACCGCUGGUGUACCAGUUAUCGUGCCAACGGUAAACGCUGGGUAGCUAUGUGUGGAGUGGAUAACCGCUGAAAGCAUCUAAGUGGGAAGCCCACCUCAAGAUGAGUAUUCUCAUCACUAUAAGUGAGUAAGGUCACGGUAAGACUAACCGUUUGAUAGGCAUUAAGUGUAAAUGUAGUAAUGCAUGUGCUGAGAUGUCCUAACAGACCGAGGACUUGA